AUGGAAAUAACACAAGUCCACACCUUAAACUUCACCGGAGUCAUCUCACAGUCAAAGAGAAUCAUCUUCUCCAGUAACAUGAUGAUCCAUGGAGGAAGCCAAUAUCUUCAAAUGUAACAUCCAAGGCAAAUCUUACAUCUUGUGGAUAAAACAAGAGCAUUGGCAUCACGAGAUGUUUACGGACCCUUCCACAUUACGCUAUCUCAAAGACAUCAGACGGGCUACCUCAUUGUCUCCUAUCUUCUCAAAGAAUGGUUAGUGCCCUUCAUGGACAGUUGCCUCUCUCUCCUCGCCGUGUCAGCAACGUCAGUCACUCUCUUUUCCCUCUAAAUUUCAUGCCCGUUGUCCGUCUACCCAAAAACCUAUACCUGGGUUACAAACGGCCUAAGGGAUGCGCAAACUAAGAUGUAGGGCUGGAAACGAACCAAACGCUCAUGAACCGUUCGGCGAGAAGUUCGUUUGUAUUUGUUUGUUUAUUAAACAAAUGAACAGGGGCAAGAAAUUUCGUUCGUUUAGUUAAGUGAACGAACAUGAACAAAAGGCAUGCUCGUUCAUUUAUGUUCAUGAACGUUCG
This 574-nucleotide long non-coding RNA is filed under the name Helianthus annuus (common sunflower). Lineage: Eukaryota; Viridiplantae; Streptophyta; Magnoliopsida; Asterales; Asteraceae. The record is from RNAcentral.